This 140-nucleotide ribosomal RNA is filed under the name Paris polyphylla var. chinensis. Its description in RNAcentral is "partial 26S ribosomal RNA". It matches the Rfam family "Eukaryotic large subunit ribosomal RNA", at positions 1 to 141 of the family's 3401-position model. The record is from RNAcentral. Lineage: Eukaryota; Viridiplantae; Streptophyta; Magnoliopsida; Liliales; Melanthiaceae.
GACCCCAGGUUAGGCGAGAACACCCGCUGAAUUUAAGCAUAUCAAUAAGCGGAGGAGAAGAAACUUACGAGGAUUCCCUUAGUAACGGCGAGCGAACCGGGACAAGCCCACCUUGAGAAUCGGACGGCUUCGUCGUUCGA